Molecule: long non-coding RNA, 447 nt
Organism: Microplitis mediator
Lineage: Eukaryota; Metazoa; Arthropoda; Insecta; Hymenoptera; Braconidae
Exons: 3
Source: RefSeq, a predicted model, not a curated record
UGUUGCAAGUGGACGUCGGUCUGAUAGCAAAAAUCGUAAAGUCUAAAGUUGCUGUCAGUUGGCUAAAUUGACGAACGACAGGAAGUCAAUUUCGCUUUAAAGUUUUGCUAACAAUUUAAUGUCAACUUCUGACAAUAGAUUGACACUAAAUUGCUCGGAAUUUUCAUGUUAGCUUGCUACUGAGUUGAUAUUGGGAUAGUAUUUAAAAAAGUAUUUCUCUUAUAGUGAUUAAUAUUUCAUUACUAUUAUAGGAGCCCUCUGGAGAGUCUACCGAUUCCGAAACUUAGGAAUCUGUGAUCGUAAGGAAUUUACCUCCAUCUUUGAUUGACCGCAAGUAAUCCAGGAAGGCGAAAAUAAUCUGAUACAAAGAUUGCGCACGAUGUUCUUAGAAUUGUAUCGAAAUUAUUUUUUUCUUUCGUUUGAAGAAUAUUUUUAUCAAAUAAAGAC